This 214-nucleotide unclassified non-coding RNA is filed under the name Hevea brasiliensis (rubber tree). Lineage: Eukaryota; Viridiplantae; Streptophyta; Magnoliopsida; Malpighiales; Euphorbiaceae. The record is from RNAcentral.
AGCUGCUGCCGGAGCCGCUACCGGAGCCGGAGCUUUGGCUUCUCCAUCGGCGAAUGGCUCUUCUUCUACCAAGUUUUCUUACUUGGCUUCUUUGCAAUUUCCCAGAGAGCUUCGUCGUGUUCAAAUUGGAAACUAUGGGUUGAAGUCAAAGAAAGGGUCUUCACGUCUUGUUCCUCUGGUUGAAGCAAAGAAGCAAACUUUUUCUUCCUUUGAA